AGUGAACGCUGGCGGUAGGCCUAACACAUGCAAGUCGAACGGCAGCACAGUAAGAGCUUGCUCUUACGGGUGGCGAGUGGCGGACGGGUGAGGAAUACAUCGGAAUCUACUUUUUCGUGGGGGAUAACGUAGGGAAACUUACGCUAAUACCGCAUACGACCUACGGGUGAAAGCAGGGGAUCUUCGGACCUUGCGCGAUUGAAUGAGCCGAUGUCGGAUUAGCUAGUUGGCGGGGUAAAGGCCCACCAAGGCGACGAUCCGUAGCUGGUCUGAGAGGAUGAUCAGCCACACUGGAACUGAGACACGGUCCAGACUCCUACGGGAGGCAGCAGUCGGGAAUAUUGGACAAUGGGCGAAAGCCUGAUCCAGCCAUACCGCGUGAGUGAAGAAGGCCUUCGGGUUGUAAAGCCCUGUUGUUGGGAAAGAAAAGCAGCAGGUUAACACCCCGCUGUUCUGACGGUACCCAAAGAAUAAGCACCGGCUAACUUCGUG
Molecule: ribosomal RNA, 492 nt
Filed under: uncultured bacterium
Lineage: Bacteria
Description: partial 16S ribosomal RNA
Rfam family: Bacterial small subunit ribosomal RNA
Source: RNAcentral